Molecule: long non-coding RNA, 776 nt
Organism: Balaenoptera acutorostrata (minke whale)
Lineage: Eukaryota; Metazoa; Chordata; Mammalia; Artiodactyla; Balaenopteridae
Exons: 7
Source: RefSeq, a predicted model, not a curated record
AUAAGAUGUCCUCUGCUCUGAGAAUCUAUGUGGAAAUUGAGGCAUGCGUGAAGUCUACCCACUGGGAUAAAGCAGGUUCCCUGCUGACAAGUGCAAAACAAAGCACGACCGUGAAAAGUGGAUUGGAGGUGAAAAUACUUGAUGGAAGCCCACACUAGUGAGAAAACUCAGGAAGCGGGUUCUGCGGAAAGAUUAAACCCAGUCUCCAUUCUCCAUGCGCCAGAGGUGAGGUGGAGAGCAGAACUGAGACAGAUGAGAAUAAUGAAGAGUUUCAGUGACAGAGGCUGAGAACUCCCUCUCCCUUAUUUCCUGUAUUUCCACCGCAUCCUCCCUUGAAACCAUUUCAGGAGCAUUUUGUCCUGCUGGCCACGUGUCAUGGGAAUAGACACAAGAACCAGCAAACAUUCCAGUAUGUUCCCUGCCAAAGGGAGGGACUCUGCAAUUUUGUCAAGAUGAUGCUACGACAAUGAGAUGGAGCAUUUCACCUGCAGUUAUUAAUUACCUGGCAUGUUUCACAAAACUGAUCAACUUUGCAUGGCAUGGUCUGCGUAAACAGCCAAGAUCCAUCUUUCAUUCCCUUUUAACUCUGGGAUUUACAGGAGAAUAGAUGCCAAAAUGCACAUCCCGUGACAAUGGCUUCCAGACCCAGCACUUGAAGGGUUCUUGGUUGACCCGGGGUGCAGGGCACAGUGCUGGUACCACCUCUGGGGAGGACCCGGGAAGGUCAGAGCUUCCUUGUUUAGGGGCCAGAUGUUUGCAAUGUAAAGAAACUUAUG